Molecule: long non-coding RNA, 377 nt
Organism: Actinia tenebrosa (Australian red waratah sea anemone)
Lineage: Eukaryota; Metazoa; Cnidaria; Anthozoa; Actiniaria; Actiniidae
Source: RefSeq, a predicted model, not a curated record
ACUGGUAAAGAAUCAGGAGGAGAGUAUUGCUGUCACGUGUCAAACCGUUUUGGGAAUGAGACUAAUUGUACGUCCCUUGAAGUGAUAGUUUUACCUCGUAUCAACAAUCUAACCUUGCACCUUUCUGGUAAACAAGGAGAAUCAAUAACAUUAAGAUGUAAUGCCUCUGGAGAUCCAGCACCCAAUUAUACAUGGAUACAUAAGGAUAAGAACAGAACAAUAGCUAAUUCCAGUGUGACGUCAUUCAACAUCACUGGUAAAGAAUCAGGAGGAAAGUACUGCUGUCACGUGUCAAACGGUUUUGGGGAGGAGGCUAAUUGUACGUCUGUUAAAGUAACAGAAUAUCAACCAAUAAAUACAAAGCUGACAUCGGAUGU